RNAcentral lists this transfer RNA (77 nucleotides) under Deltaproteobacteria bacterium. Its description in RNAcentral is "tRNA-Arg". It matches the Rfam family "tRNA". Rfam says of the family: Transfer RNA (tRNA) molecules are approximately 80 nucleotides in length. Their secondary structure includes four short double-helical elements and three loops (D, anti-codon, and T loops). Further hydrogen bonds mediate the characteristic L-shaped molecular structure. tRNAs have two regions of fundamental functional importance: the anti-codon, which is responsible for specific mRNA codon recognition, and the 3' end, to which the tRNAs corresponding amino acid is attached (by aminoacyl-tRNA synthetases). tRNAs cope with the degeneracy of the genetic code in two manners: having more than one tRNA (with a specific anti-codon) for a particular amino acid; and 'wobble' base-pairing, i.e. permitting non-standard base-pairing at the 3rd anti-codon position. The record is from RNAcentral. Lineage: Bacteria; Pseudomonadati; Myxococcota; Myxococcia.
GGGUCCGUAGCUCAGAUGGAUAGAGCGCCGGGCUUCGAACCCGUAGGUCGGGCGUUCGAGUCGCCCCGGACUCACCU